GCAGCUCCCUCCCUCUGCUGGAGCACGUGGGAAACGGGCUCAUUUUUGGCUGCACUACUUUUCUGUUUAUCUUCCUGAUUAGUUGUGAAUUCUUCUUCCAACUCCGAGUCUUCCUAGCCUGUGGGUUCCGCUUGUCUUCUUGGAUUAGAUUCUCUUCAAGACCAGGACCCCUGGAAUCCCAGCUCCAUUCCCAAGGUAAUUUCUGCAGGAAAGCAAGUUUGGCACAUUGGAUUCACAGGCCGCGGCCAUGGUGGGAGCAGGAGUGGGAGAGGGCAGCCCACUGGCCUGGGACGGGCACCUGGAACUUCUGGUGGUAAUGUUUUGAAACUUACUCAUUAUCCAGACAUGGGACAAACUCCAGUGAAUCACUAACACUCCAUGCAAUGAACUUGGGAAGACCUCUAACCACAGGGUCUCCUGCACAGGAGGAUCUCCGUGGUGUUCCUGUAUUCAGGGAUUAGUAGGUGGGAAGAGGCCAUAUGUGCGCUGUAAGCCUUGCGGUCCUCUUCCUCUUCCCUAGAGUCACUGAAGGAAGCCUUGGGCAGGCAGAGGCACUGCAGUGGAGAGAUCCUGGCACAGGGUGGCAAGGACACCAGGGACACUCAAGACAAUCUCUAACUCCUAAACCACAGAUGGUUAAAGACAGGAUGGAGCGCUGACCCAGCUUGCCAAAGGGAAGCCUGGCCCCAGGCAGCACCCAGACUGGGUCUGGCCUUUCUCCAGGGAAGCUCUCAGAGUGAGGUGGGGGCAGCCUCCGGUGGAUCCAGGAAGCAGAAGGCACAGGCACUGCAGUGGCUGACCCUCCCAAGGCCUUGGGGACAUUUACUCAGGUGGGAAGGGCUGGCGUGGUGUUAUCAGAGCUUUGUUUGACCGGCGGUCCAGGCAGUCAUAAUUCUCCUGACGUCAUGGGAUCUUCAUGGGCAGCUUGUUGGAAAAGGCCAGGGGAUCCCGCCACCCUGUGUUUGAGAACUUCUUUAAGGGUCACCUCGCAGCUGUGUAAAUACACUAUCAGGAAAACGUCCUUGUGUACCCUUUGUGCUACUGGUAAAGCAUGAAAAGCAGGAUUAUUCUCAGUAAAAAUUAAACCCUCGUGACUGACUAUGGCAGUUCUCAGGUGACUUGAUUUGUUUCUCAACUUCCAUUAUUUGCAGAAAAUUUUUUCCAGCUUACAUGUCACAUGUUACUUUUAUUUCACAUACAGUUCUGUAAGAUUUAACAAAUGGGUGAAGUCCAUUUGUAACCACCACCACCAUCAGAGUCCAUGGUGACGUUCUCCUCCCAUGCCCCUGAUGUUUCCUCCUCCAGAGUCAAACCUGCCACCCUCAUCCAGCCACUUGCAAUUCCAUCCUGGGGCUUUUCCAGAAUGCCACUUAAACUGAAUUCUAGGUGACAAAGCCUUUGAGUCUGACUUCUUUCGUUUAGCGGAAAGCAUUGGAAGACCAUUAGUGUUGCUGUAAGGGUCAGUAGUCCCUUCUUGAUAUAUGUGAGUACUAUUCCAUUUUUAGGGGCCAUAGUUUGUUUAUCCAUCCACCCAGGGAAGGGUAUGUUGGUAGGUAGAGUCCAGUUGUUGGCUAUUAUGUAUAGUUAUAAAUAUUUGGGUACAGGUUUUUAUGUAAAUUUGAAUUUUUAUUUCUCUGGAAUAAAUACCUAGGAGAGGGAUCACUGAGUCACAUGAUAUGUGUGGAUUUAAUUGCAAAAUAAACUGCCAGAUUUCCCAGAGUGGCUAUAGCAUUUUGCAUUCCUACCAGAAAAGAGUGGAGUCCAGUUGCUCCUCACCAUAGUCAGCCCUUGGAAAUUUCAGUGUUGCUUUUGUUUCUCGUCAUUCUAAUGAGUGUGUGGUAAUAUUUAAUUGUGAUUGGAAUUUCAUUCUCCAAUGACUAAUGCACACAUGAGCAUUUGUCAUGAACUACUUUGCUAUCAUAUAUGAUAUAUAUAAUAAUAUGAUAUAUAUAUGGUAUCUGUUCAAAUGUUUUGCUUCGUUUCAUUAGGUUAUUUUCUUUUGCUAAAUUUUAC
Molecule: long non-coding RNA, 2013 nt
Filed under: Marmota monax (woodchuck)
Lineage: Eukaryota; Metazoa; Chordata; Mammalia; Rodentia; Sciuridae
Source: RNAcentral